Trematomus bernacchii (emerald rockcod) is the source of this 753-nucleotide non-coding RNA. Lineage: Eukaryota; Metazoa; Chordata; Actinopteri; Perciformes; Nototheniidae. The record is from the annotation of a RefSeq genome assembly.
CCAGAGGGAGUCUCUCUCUGUUAAACAUCAAUAGUUUACUGCCUUUGGAUCUGUUACCCAGGAGGAAGUGUAACUGAGAGAAGUGAAAUACAGAUCUAAGAGGAGACAGAGAGAUUCAGGGAGGAGCUAAGAUGUUCCUGAACUAUAGAAGAGAGAGGAACUUCCAUAUUCACCAGAGUUCAACACAGACCAUCAUCAUCACCUUCAUUCAACAUGCUGUCAUUACAUCAUUGUGUCACUUUUUUCUUUUUAGUUUCAGUCUUAAGAGUCAGCUGUGAAGAUCUCACUCCAUCAAAGCAAGAAGAGUUCAGUCCAGAAGGCAGCACUGUUACUCUGUCCUACAGAUACUCCAAAACUAUAGCAGCUAAUGAUUAUUUCUACUGGUAUCGACAAUAUCCAGGAAAACCACCAGAGUUCCUCAUCCUUCACUGGGGAACAACACCUGCAUCAAACUCUCGACUGUCCGUUAAAUCGGAUGAGGAUAAAACCCAGAUCUAUCUGAGCAUCUCCUCUGCUGCAGUGACAGACUCUGCUGUGUACUACUGUGCUGUGCAGCCCACAGUGACAGGAAACACCAACACUCUGUACAAAAACCUUUGGAGCAAAGACAACACAGUACUGCACUACAUCCACCAGAGGGAGUCUCUCUCUGUUCACCUUCAGCAGGAUGUGAUGAUACAGUCUAGAUUAGAUUCUCUCAGACUCACAGCUGUGAUGAAGAGCUCCAGAAACUCAUUGGACAUCUGAGUCUCC